GAUGAACGCUGGCGGCGUGCCUAAUACAUGCGAGUCGAGCGAACAGACGAGGAGCUUGCUCCUCUGACGUUAGCGGCGGACGGGUGAGUAACACGUGGAUAACCUACCUAUAAGACUGGGAUAACUUCGGGAAACCGGAGCUAAUACCGGAUAAUAUAUUGAACCGCAUGGUUCAAUAGUGAAAGACGGUUUUGCUGUCACUUAUAGAUGGAUCCGCGCCGCAUUAGCUAGUUGGUAAGGUAACGGCUUACCAAGGCGACGAUGCGUAGCCGACCUGAGAGGGUGAUCGGCCACACUGGAACUGAGACACGGUCCAGACUCCUACGGGAGGCAGCAGUAGGAAAUCUUCCGCAAUGGGCGAAAGCCUGACGGAGCAACGCCGCGUGAGUGAUGAAGGUCUUCGGAUCGUAAAACUCUGUUAUUAGGGAAGAACAAAUGUGUAAGUAACUAUGCACGUCUUGACGGUACCUAAUCAGAAAGCCACGGCUAACUACGUG
This 497-nucleotide ribosomal RNA is filed under the name uncultured bacterium. RNAcentral describes it as "partial 16S ribosomal RNA". It matches the Rfam family "Bacterial small subunit ribosomal RNA", at positions 28 to 507 of the family's 1533-position model. The record is from RNAcentral.